CGAAGCCUGACGGAGCAAUACCGCGUGAGGGAAGAAGGCUUUUGGGUUGUAAGCCUCUUUUGUCAGGGAAGAAGAAUUGACGGUACCUGAAGAAAAAGCAUCGGCUAACUCCGUGCCAGCAGCCGCGGUAAUACGGAGGAUGCAAGCGUUAUCCGGAAUCAUUGGGCGUAAAGGGUCCGCAGGUGGCGAAUAAAGUCUGCUGUUAAAGACCGGGGCUAAACUCCGGAAAGGCAGUGGAAACUGAUUAGCUAGAGUACGGUAGGGGUAGAGGGAAUUCCCAGUGUAGCGGUGAAAUGCGUAGAUAUUGGGAAGAACACCGGUGGCGAAAGCGCUCUACUAGGCCGAAACUGACACUGAGGGACGAAAGCUAGGGUAGCGAAAGGGAUUAGAUACCCCUGUAGUCUUAGCGGUAAACGAUGGAUACUAGGUGUAGCUUGUAACGACCCGAGCUGUGCCGAAGCUAACGCGAUAAGUAUCCCGCCUGGGGAGUACGCACGCAAGUGUGAAACUCAAAGGAAUUGACGGGGGCGCGCACAAGCGGUGGAGUAUGUGGUUUAAUUCGAUGCAACGCGAAGAACCUUACCAGGGCUUGACAUGUCGCGAAUCUAGCGGAAACGUUAGAGUGCCUUAGGGAAUGCGAACACAGGUGGUGCAUGGCUGUCGUCAGCUCGUGUCGUGAGAUGUUGGGUUAAGUCCCGCAACGAGCGCAACCCUCGUCCUUAGUUGCCAAUAUUAAGUUAGGCACUCUAGGGAGACUGCCGGGGACAACUCGGAGGAAGGUGGGGAUGACGUCAAGUCAGCAUGCCCCUUACGUCCUGGGCGACACACGUACUACAAUGGUUGGGACAAAGGGCAGCAAGCUCGCGAGAGUAAGCGAAUCUCAUCAAACCCAGCCACAGUUCAGAUUGCAGGCUGCAGCUCGCCUGCAUGAAGUAGGAAUCGCUAGUAAUCGCAGGUCAGCAUACUGCGGUGAAUUCGUUCCCGGGCCUUGUACACACCGCCCGUCACACCAUGGAAGCUGGCUACGCCCGAAGUCGUUACCCUAACCCGGUUUUGGGAGGGGGAUGCCGAAGGUAGAGCUAGUGACUGGGGUGAAGUCGUAACAAGGUAGCCGUACCGGAAGGUGUGGCUGGAUCACCUCCUUU
This 1145-nucleotide ribosomal RNA is filed under the name uncultured cyanobacterium. RNAcentral's name for it is "bacterial SSU rRNA". It matches the Rfam family "Bacterial small subunit ribosomal RNA", at positions 377 to 1533 of the family's 1533-position model. Lineage: Bacteria; Bacillati; Cyanobacteriota. The record is from RNAcentral.